GCUUAACGCGAAGAACCUUACCAAGGCUUGACAUAUACCUGAAAAGGCUGGAAACAAUCUCCCCGCAAGGCAGGUAUACAGGUGGUGCAUGGUUGUCGUCAGCUCGUGUCGUGAGAUGUUGGGUUAAGUCCCGCAACGAGCGCAACCCUCGUUCUAUGUUGCCAGCACGUAAUGGUGGGAACUCAUGGGAUACUGCCGGGGUCAACUCGGAGGAAGGUGGGGAUGACGUCAAAUCAUCAUGCCCCUUAUGUCUUGGGCUUCACGCAUGCUACAAUAGCCGGUACAAAGGGCUGCAAUACCGUAAGGUGGAGCGAAUCCCAAAAAGCCGGUCCCAGUUCGGAUUGAGGUCUGCAACUCGACCUCAUGAAGUCGGAGUCGCUAGUAAUCGCAGAUCAGCAACGCUGCGGUGAAUACGUUCCCGGGUCUUGUACACACCG
Molecule: ribosomal RNA, 437 nt
Filed under: uncultured bacterium
Lineage: Bacteria
Description: bacterial SSU rRNA
Rfam family: Bacterial small subunit ribosomal RNA
Source: RNAcentral